CAAAAACAUGUCCUUUUGUUUAUAUAAAAGGUUUGACCUGCCCUAUGAUUUUUAUUUAAUGGCUGCAGUAUUUUGACUGUACAAAGGUAGCAUAAUCAUUUGUCUUUUAAUUGAAGUCUGGAAUGAAUGGUUUGAUGAAAAAUAGACUUUCUUUAUUUUAUAUAAAAAAUUUAAUUUUUUAGUCAAAAAGCUAAAAUUUUUUUAUAGGACGAGAAGACCCUAUAGAACUUUAUUUUUAUUAAUUUUGUAAUUAGAUUAGGAAAUGUCUUGAUAUAUGAUUGAGAAAAUUUUGUUGGGGUGACAGAAAAAAUUAAAUAACUUUUUCUUAUUUAAUCAUUAUUAGUGAAUUUUUGAUCCUUUUUUAGGGAUGGAAGAUUAAGUUACCUUAGGGAUAACAGCGUUAUUGUUUCAGAGAGUUCAUAUCGAUGAAAUAGUUUGCGACCUCGAUGUUGGAUUAUAAUAAGAUGUAGGAGUAGAAUAUUAUGUUCAAGGCCUGUUCGACCUUUAAAUUUUUACAUGAUCUGAGUUCAAACCGGA
Molecule: ribosomal RNA, 537 nt
Filed under: Orthotylini sp. WA0909msp321
Lineage: Eukaryota; Metazoa; Arthropoda; Insecta; Hemiptera; Miridae
Description: partial 16S ribosomal RNA
Rfam family: Bacterial large subunit ribosomal RNA
Source: RNAcentral